Long non-coding RNA from Cryptotermes secundus, 260 nucleotides. RefSeq lists it as uncharacterized. The transcript has 2 exons. The record is from RefSeq and is a predicted model, not a curated record. Lineage: Eukaryota; Metazoa; Arthropoda; Insecta; Blattodea; Kalotermitidae.
AAUACAAGAAAAAAGGACCUAACAUAACAAAAAAAUAUAUAGGUGUGGGUGUGUGUCUCCAUUUCUCUGCAUAAGCAUAUGUCUCUGUGUAAUUAUUUAGGCCGCAUAUGCUAGCACUUUUAGGUCUAUAGAUGCAGUAUGGUUUAUGAUCGCUCAUUAUUUGUCAUGAUCAUCAGUUAUGUUAAUCAAGAUUCAGAUUUAUAUUGUAAGGAGGACUAAGGAGACAUAGUCUCAUUCUUACACUUACAUGGUAACUAUAU